GAUGAACGCUGGCGGCGUGCCUAAUACAUGCAAGUCGAGCGAACGGACGAGAAGCUUGCUUCUCUGAUGUUAGCGGCGGACGGGUAAGUAACACGUGGAUAACCUACCUAUAAGACUGGGAUAACUUCGGGAAACCGGAGCUAAUACCGGAUAAUAUUUUGAACCGCAUGGUUCAAAAGUGAAAGACGGUCUUGCUGUCACUUAUAGAUGGAUCCGCGCUGCAUUAGCUAGUUGGUAAGGUAACGGCUUACCAAGGCAACGAUGCAUAGCCGACCUGAGAGGGUGAUCGGCCACACUGGAACUGAGGCACGGUCCAGACUCCUACGGGAGGCAGCAGUAGGGAAUCUUCCGCAAUGGGCGAAAGCCUGACGGAGCAACGCCGCGUGAGUGAUGAAGGUCUUCGGAUCGUAAAACUCUGUUAUUAGGGAAGAACAUAUGUGUAAGUAACUGUGCACAUCUUGACGGUACCUAAUCAGAAAGCCACGGCUAACUACGUG
This 497-nucleotide ribosomal RNA is filed under the name uncultured bacterium. RNAcentral describes it as "partial 16S ribosomal RNA". It matches the Rfam family "Bacterial small subunit ribosomal RNA", at positions 28 to 507 of the family's 1533-position model. The record is from RNAcentral.